This 755-nucleotide small RNA is filed under the name Pan troglodytes (chimpanzee). RNAcentral describes it as "processed transcript". Lineage: Eukaryota; Metazoa; Chordata; Mammalia; Primates; Hominidae. The record is from RNAcentral.
CUGACUGCUCUGUUUUCCGACAGUGCCCAAGUAUCUGCCCGCCAGGUCCCCCAGGGCCCCCUGGAAUGCCAGGGUUCAAGGGACCCACUGGCUACAAAGGCGAGCAGGGGGAAGUCGGCAAGGAUGGCGAGAAGGCCAGGGGACCAGGUCUGGGAUGCCCUUUAGCAUGGCUGGAGUGAUCAGAUGAGGAGACCCCAGGUGCACAUCAGAGGGGUCCCUGCUUGGCCACGAGGAGGGGCCUGGACAGGGCUGAAGGGCCUUGUGGGAACAGUGACCACGGACCCAGGCCCAGCAGGGCGAGGCCACCGAGACUCGCUGCUCUGGAACUGUGGGGUGACCCUGGCCCCCCUGGGCCCGCCGGCCUCCCGGGCAGCGUGGGGCUGCAGGGUCCCCGGGGAUUACGAGGACUGCCAGGGCCACUCGGGCCCCCUGGGGACCGGGGUCCCAUCGGGUUCCGAGGGCCGCCUGGGAUCCCAGGAGCGCCUGGGAAAGCGGGUGACCGAGGCGAGAGGGGCCCAGAAGGGUUCCGCGGCCCCAAGGGUGACCUUGGCAGACCUGGUCCCAAGGGAACCCCCGGAGUGGCGGGGCCAAGCGGAGAGCCGGGCAUGCCGGGCAAGGACGGCCAGAAUGGCGUGCCAGGACUCGAUGGCCAGAAGGGAGAGGCUGGUCGCAACGGUGCUCCGGGAGAGAAGGGCCCCAACGGGCUGCCGGGCCUCCCCGGACGAGCGGGGUCCAAAGGCGAGAAGGGAGAACGG